UGGAGCUGGGGCUGGGCCUGGGACUACGACUACGACUACUGCUACGACUACGAUAUCAAAUGGCUGCCAGUUAAUUGGCGGAACUGUUCGUUCACACCCACGGAAUAUAAUGUUAGCAACCCCCCAUUCAUACGCCGCCGGCUCGAACGCUGGGCUUCAGCUUGGAGACUCAGGACUUAUGUACCCUACGAUUUGCCACAAAUCGAGUCGUAUCCGAUUUCCCCCCGCCAGUCGGAGUCCUAUCCAAGCAUUACCGAGGCGUAAUCGAGACAGACCGAGUCCUAUACCAGCCAGAAAGAAUCGUAUCCCAGCAAGACAGAGGUGCAUCCCUAGCACGAACCUAACCAAGCCAUCGUCAUCCUUCAACCUGGCUAAGGACAGCAAGGACUUUGACUAUAACAACCAAUGGAAGAGCUACGCUCUCUACUAGUCUUAAGAUAGAUAUCGUUAUUGAUAGGAUUAAGGAUAUAAGCGAUCAUACAUAAAUGUU
RNAcentral lists this small RNA (490 nucleotides) under Drosophila pseudoobscura pseudoobscura. RNAcentral's name for it is "GA30815". The record is from RNAcentral. Lineage: Eukaryota; Metazoa; Arthropoda; Insecta; Diptera; Drosophilidae.